RNAcentral lists this long non-coding RNA (651 nucleotides) under Setaria italica (foxtail millet). RNAcentral's name for it is "long non-coding RNA (SITA_LNC004789)". The record is from RNAcentral. Lineage: Eukaryota; Viridiplantae; Streptophyta; Magnoliopsida; Poales; Poaceae.
CCACUGAAAUCAAGCGUAAUCGUGGUCACACACAGAUGAUCGAGCAGUCCAUCAAACGCCGAUAAUACCAUACACCAUAGUAACAUCGAUAGUGUUCCAGCAGCAUGCUGACCGAUGAACAGAAACGAGGAUUGCCUGACCGUCAAACAAAACAUGCCACGAGCACACACAGCAUGCUACAUCCCACCCAAAACGUGUCACCUUACACCUUGACUUGGUUCCAGUGUUGGUAGAUCUGGAUCAAGGGGGAAUUCGGCAGAACAAAAUUGCGUUAGCACACCAGCAUGCAUGAUAUCGGAGGGUAAAUAUGUAGACCAACGGAAAUAAAGCAUUUGUGGGGAGAUGAGAUCACCUAGAGAGUGAGCUGAUGUCAGUUGACCAAUUCCCCGGCUCCUUCAAGGAAAAUUAACCAACAAUUGUCAGAACACAACACAAGACAUUGUGCAGAUCUGGGUUUCUGAUGCGUCAAUCGUGAUGCUCAAUCAUUAUUUGAAUAGACAUAAUCAACUACCCUAUGUGCUAGUUAUCUGCUAGCAACAGGAAACAAGUUCAGAGCAAGUGUGUCUAGGAAGAUGUAUUGGAUGUCGAAUUAACUACGAUGUUAACUCAUACAAGUAGGAAUUAAAACAUUACUAUAUUUACAAACAAAGC